Spinacia oleracea (spinach) is the source of this 1707-nucleotide RNA transcript. RefSeq lists it as uncharacterized. NCBI's taxonomy places the organism in Eukaryota, Viridiplantae, Streptophyta, Magnoliopsida, Caryophyllales, Amaranthaceae. The transcript has 6 exons. The record is from RefSeq and is a predicted model, not a curated record.
AUGGUAAAUUGGUAACUAUGGUCAAUGACUAUUUAUAUCUAUAUACGAAGUAUACUAUUCUGGCCUCCUAACGACCGGAAAGUUGAGACGGCCAUUGUUUACAACACCAGGUUAUGGCAUGCCAUCAUGGUACACGGGUCAGCCCAACCCAGCCCCGUCAGCCACACCUGACUUCAAUUCGUAAAUUUGGCUUGUGAUGUUUCCUGUGGAGGUGUGGUGGAGCAACCAUUAUUAGGGCAAUACAACUGAUGACUCAGUAAAAUGCUUAAAAGUAUAAAAGUUAUAUUCUUAUAGGUAGAACUCCUUGAUAUUAUCCUAACACUGCUAAAGUCUCAUACGUUACUUAUUAUUCACACAAUAGUUAAAUGUCUGUUAUAACCUCAAAAUCCUUCAUGUUUUUAUUUUGUCAUUUUCCUUAAAAAUAGAGUGAUUACGUUUUUAGCCCCGACUUCCUACACUGCUGCAUGUUCCUCGCACCUGUUAUUUGCCUCUCUGGACCCGGGUUACGUUUCACUUUCUUGCUACCUCUCUCUACUCUCCUCUCCUCUCGAAUGGCGCUGGUACUUCUCCUCCCCUCUCCUACUUCUCUUCUUCAAUUUGUCCUCCUAAUUUUUCCUACUAAUUUCUCUUCUUUGAUGACCUGUUUUAUAGGACAUCUCCCAGGGCGUUCGUUUUGAAGGGCUCCAUUUGCCACCGAACUAUCGGCUCUCCAUCAUCGGUUUUAGCAAUUCUCUCUCUCCUCUUUUUCCAAAGUUUCAAUAUUUUCAGUUUCUAUUUGAUUAAUGCCAUUUCUAAUUCCGGGUUUAUCAAAAAAUGGAAAACAUUAAAAAUAACCCAGUUGAAGGUUCAUCUGCUAUUUCUACAUAUGGUCGCUGCAACUCUUGCAAGGUUCCUUCCAAAGUGGACAUACAGCUGGUAAUUCAGGAUUGGUGCAGGUGGAUUUGGAGAAGUCUUCUUCGCAUAGCACAGAGGCGAGCAACAAUCAAGAAGAUGGAUAUGCAAGCCUCAAGGGAGCUGCAGGUCUUAACUCGUGUUCAUCAUUUGCAUCUGGCAAAGCUAGCCAGAAAGGAGAUGCGGGAUCACGAGGCUUUUUUGAAAAGCUUUGAAGUCUCCUAACCUGCGCGUUUGGAGGAAGUUAUUCGGUCGAUUGAUCGAGCUCUUGGUCUUGAGAGAUGUUCUGGGAUUCAUGGUAGUUUUGUUCAUCUUAAAGGUACAGGAUGGCACUCCCCUUGGCACGCUUCAUACUUUCUAACAUUGUUGGAGUACACUACUAAAUAUGUACUAGAAUUGUUAGUUUGAUGGCCUGCUAUGUCAUGGAAUAUGGAGUUUCGUACCCGGGAAGUGAGAGUUACGCUACGUUUUGUUCCUGACAGGUAUCGCCUAUCAAGUCAUCAUCCAAAACAUGUUAUUUACCUUUGAACAGAGUUCUUACUUUGCGGCUAUGUGCACACAUGAUGAGUAAUGUUGCUUUCAUAUGUUAUUAUGCCACCCAUUUUAAUAAAGAAGAAAAUUCAGCUGAUCAAUUUCAGCUUUAGAUUAUUAUACACUGGAUCUAAUUAGUCAAUAGUUGUGCUUUGCUCUUCAUGUUUUGUGAUAGUCUUUCUUCCUCUUUGUUUUCUACUCAAAAACCUUUUGCAACCAUAGGUUUAAGAUUGUGUAUAUUUGAACCUGUAGAUGCCAAUUAUCAUAUACCUUGAUGGUAAAGUA